Molecule: long non-coding RNA, 465 nt
Organism: Sinocyclocheilus rhinocerous
Lineage: Eukaryota; Metazoa; Chordata; Actinopteri; Cypriniformes; Cyprinidae
Exons: 3
Source: RefSeq, a predicted model, not a curated record
GGCGUCCUAUCACCGCUGCAGAACCCGGAUUUGGAGCCUUUACCAACAAGUGUAAGUUUCCUGCCCUUUUUGUAGACUCUUUCAAAAAACCCCUGUGGGUAUCUAGGGCAAUUAUGCGUCACCUCAAAUCCUUCAAUUGCGAUUUGGCAACUCUUCUCUCAUCGCCAUUGAUUGCAGUGACAGCAUGCCUAUGAGCUCACCUGACCGUAGUGGGUGUGGCCUGCUAUGAUGCCACUGCACCUAUAAAUAAACACCUAAACUCCGCCUCCAACAGCAACACAACCAAUCAUCUGUCAACACUCCAAAUAUGGAAAGGUCCUAACCCUUUAAAGAGCAGCUUAAUGAAGCAGCAAAGCGGCUCACAAUCGGAGACUCCAGCUCAAACAGCUCCAGGCUUAACAGCCCAGGAGGGGUUUGGUUAAAUGAAGUGCCUUGCAUGGGAACUGAGUCAGUGGGGAGGGGUAU